RNAcentral lists this ribosomal RNA (384 nucleotides) under Candona sp. 56 IK-2020. RNAcentral's name for it is "partial large subunit ribosomal RNA". It matches the Rfam family "Archaeal large subunit ribosomal RNA", at positions 1947 to 2599 of the family's 2987-position model. Lineage: Eukaryota; Metazoa; Arthropoda; Ostracoda; Podocopida; Candonidae. The record is from RNAcentral.
AGGCCUGCUCAAUGAAAUUUAAAUGGCCGCAGUAUAAUGACUGUGCUAAGGUAGCAUAAUAAUUUGCCUUUUAAUUGGGGGCUGGGAUGAAAGGUUUUAUGGGGAAUAGCUGUUUCAGAAUAAAUAAAUUGAAUUUAAGUUUUGCAUAAAAACUUGCAAAUGUUCUUGAGGGACGAGAAGACCCUGUGGAUUUUUAUUUGUUAAAAAAUAAAUUUUAUAAUAUUUUAUUUUUUAUCCAAAUUUGGUUGGGAUGACAAUAAAAUUAACUUUAUUCAGAGGAUAAUAAUUAGAUCCUUUUUAAGGAAAAAAGAACAAAUUACCCCAGGGAUAACAGCGUAAUACUUUUGGACAGGACAAAUGGAUAAAAGUGUUUGCGACCUCGAU